AGAAAUGAUGGUUGACU
This 17-nucleotide small RNA is filed under the name Arabidopsis thaliana (thale cress). Lineage: Eukaryota; Viridiplantae; Streptophyta; Magnoliopsida; Brassicales; Brassicaceae. The record is from RNAcentral.